RNAcentral lists this ribosomal RNA (253 nucleotides) under uncultured prokaryote. Its description in RNAcentral is "partial 16S ribosomal RNA". It matches the Rfam family "Bacterial small subunit ribosomal RNA", at positions 525 to 777 of the family's 1533-position model. The record is from RNAcentral.
ACGGGGGGGGUAAGCGUUGUUCGGAGUUACUGGGCGUAAAGGGCUCGUAGGCGGCCAACUAAGUCACACGUGAAAUCCCUCAGCUUAACUGGGGAACUGCGUGUGAUACUGGAUGGCUUGGAUCCGGGAGAGGGAUGCGGAAUUCCAGGUGUAGCGGUGAAAUGCGUAGAUAUCUGGAGGAACACCGGUGGCGAAGGCGGCAUCCUGGACCGGUAUUGACGCUGAGGAGCGAAAGCCAGGGGAGCAAACGGGA